RNAcentral lists this ribosomal RNA (270 nucleotides) under uncultured archaeon. RNAcentral describes it as "partial 16S ribosomal RNA". It matches the Rfam family "Archaeal small subunit ribosomal RNA", at positions 477 to 747 of the family's 1478-position model. The record is from RNAcentral.
CGGCACCUCAAGUGGUCAGGAUGAUUAUUGGGCCUAAAGCAUCCGUAGCCGGCUCUGUAAGUUUUCGGUUAAAUCUGUACGCUCAACGUACAGGCUGCCGGGAAUACUGCAGAGCUAGGGAGUGGGAGAGGUAGACGGUACUCGGUAGGAAGGGGUAAAAUCCUUUGAUCUAUUGAUGACCACCUGUGGCGAAGGCGGUCUACCAGAACACGUCCGACGGUGAGGGAUGAAAGCUGGGGGAGCAAACCGGAUUAGAGACCCGUGUAGUCC